This 484-nucleotide ribosomal RNA is filed under the name uncultured bacterium. Its description in RNAcentral is "partial 16S ribosomal RNA". It matches the Rfam family "Bacterial small subunit ribosomal RNA", at positions 28 to 507 of the family's 1533-position model. The record is from RNAcentral.
AUUGAACGCUGGCGGCAUGCUUUACACAUGCAAGUCGAACGGCAGCGCGGGCUUCGGCCUGGCGGCGAGUGGCGAACGGGUGAGUAAUGCAUCGGAACGUGCCCAGUAGUGGGGGAUAGCCCGGCGAAAGCCGGAUUAAUACCGCAUACGACCUGAGGGUGAAAGCGGGGGACCGAAAGGCCUCGCGCUAUUGGAGCGGCCGAUGUCGGAUUAGCUAGUUGGUGGGGUAAAGGCUUACCAAGGCGACGAUCCGUAGCUGGUCUGAGAAGACGACCAGCCGCACUGGGACUGAGACACGGCCCAGACUCCUACGGGAGGCAGCAGUGGGGAAUUUUGGACAAUGGGGGCAACCCUGAUCCAGCCAUGCCGCGUGCGGGAAGAAGGCCUUCGGGUUGUAAACCGCUUUUGUUCGGGAAGAAAUCCUCUGGGCUAAUACCCCGGGGGGAUGACGGUACCGGAAGAAUAAGCACCGGCUAACUACGUG